GUCAGAGUGGCAUAGUGGUUUGAGUGUUGGACUAUGGCUCUGGAGACCAGGGUUUAAAUCCCUGCUCAGCCA
RNAcentral lists this transfer RNA (72 nucleotides) under Anolis carolinensis (green anole). It matches the Rfam family "tRNA". From Rfam's summary of the family: Transfer RNA (tRNA) molecules are approximately 80 nucleotides in length. Their secondary structure includes four short double-helical elements and three loops (D, anti-codon, and T loops). The record is from Rfam by way of RNAcentral. Lineage: Eukaryota; Metazoa; Chordata; Lepidosauria; Squamata; Anolidae.